AUUGAACGCUAGCGGGAUGCUUUACACAUGCAAGUCGAACGGUAGCACGAAGAAAGCUUGCUUUCUUUGGUGACGAGUGGCGAACGGGUGAGUAAUGUAUCGGAACGUACCCAGUAGCGGGGGAUAACUACGCGAAAGCGUGGCUAAUACCGCAUACGCCCUACGGGGGAAAGGGGGGGAUCGCAAGACCUCUCACUAUUGGAGCGGCCGAUAUCGGAUUAGCUAGUUGGUGGGGUAAAGGCCCACCAAGGCGACGAUCCGUAGCUGGUUUGAGAGGACGACCAGCCACACUGGGACUGAGACACGGCCCAGAGUCCUACGGGAGGCAGCAGUGGGGAAUUUUGGACAAUGGGGGCAACCCUGAUCCAGCCAUCCCGCGUGUGCGAUGAAGGCCUUCGGGUUGUAAAGCACUUUUGGCAGAGAAGAAACGACUCUGGAUAAUACCCGGGGUUAAUGACGGUAUCUGCAGAAUAAGCACCGGCUAACUACGUGCCAGCAGCCGCUGUAA
Molecule: ribosomal RNA, 508 nt
Filed under: uncultured bacterium
Lineage: Bacteria
Description: partial 16S ribosomal RNA
Rfam family: Bacterial small subunit ribosomal RNA
Source: RNAcentral